AGAACUGAAUGUUUUCCAGCCUGUCUGACUACUCCAGGACCCAGAUUACUCCAGUUAGGGGUGAGAGUUAAUCUCUGAUGUCCUUCUCAUCAACCACGUCCUGUAAACACCUGACGACACUUGACAGCACAAGAACCUGGUAACUACUCAUUCUUCCACGAGAACAUCAUGACCAGUUCGAUUUAAGAGCCUGAGAACAGCUGUGACCUCAGACCAGUUAUCAUUGAGGUGCUUUUUGAAUCUAAUUAUAAGAAGAACUUCAUUGAAAACCAUUCAGUUAUUAUCACAAUCAAAAGAAGUUCAUUGUGGCCGUGCUGGGAGGCCCAUCAACCACUACCAUCUUUUUUCAGCACUGG
This is a long non-coding RNA of Rhinolophus ferrumequinum (greater horseshoe bat), 356 nucleotides long. RefSeq lists it as uncharacterized. The record is from RefSeq and is a predicted model, not a curated record. Lineage: Eukaryota; Metazoa; Chordata; Mammalia; Chiroptera; Rhinolophidae. The transcript has 3 exons.